CAGUAGCCACGGUAAUACAGAGGGUGCGAGCGUUAAUCGGAUUUACUGGGCGUAAAGCGUGCGUAGGCGGCUUUUUAAGUCGGAUGUGAAAUCCCUGAGCUUAACUUAGGAAUUGCAUUCGAUACUGGGAAGCUAGAGUAUGGGAGAGGAUGGUAGAAUUCCAGGUGUAGCGGUGAAAUGCGUAGAGAUCUUGAGGAAUACCGAUGGCGAAGGCAGCCAUCUGGCCUAAUACUGACGCUGAGGUACGAAAGCAUGGGGAGCAAACAGGAUUAGAUACCCCCGUAGUCCCUGUCUCUUAUAC
Molecule: ribosomal RNA, 301 nt
Filed under: uncultured bacterium
Lineage: Bacteria
Description: partial 16S ribosomal RNA
Rfam family: Bacterial small subunit ribosomal RNA
Source: RNAcentral